Long non-coding RNA from Cyprinus carpio carpio, 949 nucleotides. NCBI's taxonomy places the organism in Eukaryota, Metazoa, Chordata, Actinopteri, Cypriniformes, Cyprinidae. The record is from Ensembl.
GUAUUGCUCUCUUCAGCAGAGUUCUUGUCUCCGGGUCUGACAGCAUCCUCCCCCCGGCCGCUUCACCACUAUCUGUCCAGUCACUAUCAAUUACUAAGCUCUGAAACAUCCUGCACCCUGUACACCUUCCACGGCGAGUGUGAAUGCACAUGUCGGGGCCUUGACCUGCUAUGUGUGUGCGUGCCGCAUGUCAGGAAACGAGAGGACAAAGAUGUUGGAGCUCUGGUACAGUGGUCAACCCAUGCAGGAGACCGGCACAGAAAUGGGGAUGGAAAGAAUGGGAUUCGGUAUAUGCUGAUGAAGAGGAAUUCAAGAUUGAUGAUGAUGAAUCAUGAUGAGUCACUGUAAAAAAGUCAGAGACUAGUGCAAUGUGGUGAUAAUAACAACAGCUGUGGUCAUGAAAUGAUUCAGACAUCUGCUCCCCAUUGAAUAUUUUGUUUACUCUCAUAAUGAGGCAACAGCUUAUUUAGCAUGUUUUAUUAUUACUGAACUAAUCAAUGCAGGGGACUACAGAGUGUGUCCUGGGUCAUGUUCAUCCAGUGUGGCUUACUACGUCAGCCUGGAAAGUUUCGAAAGAACACAGGUUCAUUCCAUGUUAUCUUCAACAUUUUCUGGCUGACCAGUUGGACCAGAUGGUCCUUGAUUGCAUAGCAGUACAAUGCCAGCACUGACUUUGGGAUCAGUCUUAAAGGAAUAUUUUGUGCAAAAUGAAAGUUCUGUGCCAUUUACUCACCCUUAUGUCAUUUCAAAUCUGUAUCUGUAAAACAUGACCUAAUUUUUGUGUUCAGAAAAUAAAUAAAUAAAUAAAUAAAAAUAAGAAUAAUAAGAAGAAAUAUAGAAAUAGGAUGAGCCCAAGCCCCAGUGCCACUGCCACCCUGGUGGCUUCAAGAAAAUUGUGCACAGUCGGUGCAUGCAUUUACAGUGUGAAAAAGAUACACACACAGAGAGG